RNAcentral lists this transfer RNA (58 nucleotides) under Cricetulus griseus (Chinese hamster). It matches the Rfam family "tRNA", at positions 8 to 63 of the family's 71-position model. Rfam says of the family: Transfer RNA (tRNA) molecules are approximately 80 nucleotides in length. The record is from Rfam by way of RNAcentral. Lineage: Eukaryota; Metazoa; Chordata; Mammalia; Rodentia; Cricetidae.
UGGCUCAGAGGUUAAGAGCACUGGACUGACUUCCAGAGGUCCUGAGUUCAAUUCCCAG